UACGUAGGGUGCGAGCGUUAAUCGGAAUUACUGGGCGUAAAGCGUGCGCAGGCGGUUCGUCGUGUCCGAUGUGAAAGCCCCGGGCUCAACCUGGGAAUGGCAUUGGAAACUGGCGGGCUUGAGUGUGGCAGAGGGGGGUGGAAUUCCAGGUGUAGCAGUGAAAUGCGUAGAGAUCUGGAGGAACACCGAUGGCGAAGGCAGCCCCCUGGGCUAACACUGACGCUCAUGCACGAAAGCGUGGGGAGCAAACAGG
This 253-nucleotide ribosomal RNA is filed under the name uncultured bacterium. Its description in RNAcentral is "partial 16S ribosomal RNA". It matches the Rfam family "Bacterial small subunit ribosomal RNA", at positions 524 to 776 of the family's 1533-position model. The record is from RNAcentral.